UACAGAGGGGGCAAGCGUUGCUCGGAAUUACUGGGCGUAAAGGGCGCGUAGGCGGGAUGGCAAGUCGGUCGUGAAAUCCCUCGGCUCAACUGAGGAUCGUCGAUCGAUACUGCCGUUCUUGAGGAUUGCAGAGGAGACUGGAAUUCCCGGUGUAGCGGUGAAAUGUGUAGAGAUCCGGAAGAACACCGGUGGCGAAGGCGGCCCGCUGGGCAGGAAGGCUCGCAAGAGCCGGCUGACGCUGAGGCGCGACAGCGUGGGGAGCAAACAGG
RNAcentral lists this ribosomal RNA (269 nucleotides) under uncultured bacterium. Its description in RNAcentral is "partial 16S ribosomal RNA". It matches the Rfam family "Bacterial small subunit ribosomal RNA", at positions 524 to 776 of the family's 1533-position model. The record is from RNAcentral.